Molecule: long non-coding RNA, 815 nt
Filed under: Equus caballus (horse)
Lineage: Eukaryota; Metazoa; Chordata; Mammalia; Perissodactyla; Equidae
Description: lncRNA (ENSECAG00000050687.1)
Source: RNAcentral
CCUAGGUCUCCCAAAUCAAACUCAAACUCAAGGCUUCUUUUUAUUAUUGUUAAUGGCACCCCCUAAGUUUUUUGCACCGUGUUGUAGGGAAAUAUGGCUGACCCAGGAGCGAGGAGACCAAGGUCCUAGUCUUCUCUUUGCCACUGACUUGACGUACCUCAGUUUCCCCAUCUGUACAACGGGAGAAGAGGUUAGAGAUACUGUGAUCUCGAAAAUCCAGGUCCUGGGGAGGGUCCAUGGUCAGAGGAUGUGGUCAGUGAGGGUCAAGUGAGAGCCUGCCAGGGCCCUUUAAUUCAAGGCCUGCUGGGUGAGGCGGGGCCAGCUGGCAGAUGGGGCUAGGUAAACCUCCAGACUGGACUUGGGCAGAGUGAGAGAAGGACAAAGCUUUACCCACUCAGUGUGGGGCCUUCACAUAAUCAGAAUGCCGCCGUAGCUGCCAAUUCACCUGUCAACAGAUAACAUUAGCUACACGUGGCCACUCGGGUCCAGAGAAUUCAUCCAUGAAUGCGCCAUGAAGGAGAAAGUGACUAGAAAUGGAAUCUUGUGGUCCUUUAGCUCAUGCAAUGCCUGUGACAGUCAGCUGCCUGGGCCUGAGAAACACCCACCUUCCCAGCAUUCCGGGUUUCUUUGGUGGCCAUCCUGUACACCUGAAACCUUGUACCCCAAGAGCCUGGAGGGAGAUAAAUAGGCCGUUGCUCCUGUCUCCUUACCCCCACCCCUUUUUGCAAAGAAGAAAGGAUCCAUUGCUAGAGACUGAAUGUUGUAAUCAAUGUGAAACUCAGAAGAGCAGCCAGGGUUUGCAGGAGAAGCCAAGG